UACGUAGGGUGCGAGCGUUAAUCGGAAUUACUGGGCGUAAAGCGUGCGCAGGCGGUUUGACAAGUCUGAUGUGAAAUCCCCGGGCUCAACCUGGGAACUGCGUUGGAAACUGUCAGGCUAGAGUGUAGCAGAGGGGGGUAGAAUUCCACGUGUAGCAGUGAAAUGCGUAGAGAUGUGGAGGAAUACCGAUGGCGAAGGCAGCCCCCUGGGUUAACACUGACGCUCAUGCACGAAAGCGUGGGGAGCAAACAGG
RNAcentral lists this ribosomal RNA (253 nucleotides) under uncultured bacterium. RNAcentral's name for it is "partial 16S ribosomal RNA". It matches the Rfam family "Bacterial small subunit ribosomal RNA", at positions 524 to 776 of the family's 1533-position model. The record is from RNAcentral.